This 253-nucleotide ribosomal RNA is filed under the name uncultured bacterium. Its description in RNAcentral is "partial 16S ribosomal RNA". It matches the Rfam family "Bacterial small subunit ribosomal RNA", at positions 524 to 776 of the family's 1533-position model. The record is from RNAcentral.
UACGGAGGGUGCGAGCGUUGUCCGGAAUCACUGGGCGUAAAGGGCGCGUAGGCGGCGCGGGGAGUCAACGGUGAAAGCUCGGCGCUCAACGCCGAGUCGGCCGUCGAUACUCCCGUGCUCGAGCACUGUAGAGGCAGGUGGAAUUCCGGGUGUAGCGGUGGAAUGCGUAGAGAUCCGGAAGAACACCGGGGGCGAAGGCGGCCUGCUGGGCAGUAGCUGACGCUGAGGCGCGACAGCGUGGGGAGCAAACAGG